UGGGGAAUAUUGGACAAUGGGCGCAAGCCUGAUCCAGCCAUGCCGCGUGAGUGAUGAAGGCCCUAGGGUUGUAAAGCUCUUUCACCGGUGAAGAUAAUGACGGUAACCGGAGAAGAAGCCCCGGCUAACUUCGUGCCAGCAGCCGCGGUAAUACGAAGGGGGCUAGCGUUGUUCGGAUUUACUGGGCGUAAAGCGCACGUAGGCGGACUAUUAAGUCAGGGGUGAAAUCCCGGGGCUCAACCCCGGAACUGCCUUUGAUACUGGUAGUCUUGAGUUCGAGAGAGGUGAGUGGAAUGCCGGGUGUAGAGGUGAAAUUCGUGGAUAUUCGGAGGAACACCAGUGGCGAAGGCGGCUCACUGGCUCGAUACUGACGCUGAGGUGCGAAAGCGUGGGGAGCAAACAGG
RNAcentral lists this ribosomal RNA (404 nucleotides) under Actinomycetes bacterium. RNAcentral's name for it is "Actinobacteria bacterium partial 16S ribosomal RNA". It matches the Rfam family "Bacterial small subunit ribosomal RNA", at positions 355 to 776 of the family's 1533-position model. Lineage: Bacteria; Bacillati; Actinomycetota; Actinomycetes. The record is from RNAcentral.